RNAcentral lists this ribosomal RNA (253 nucleotides) under uncultured bacterium. RNAcentral describes it as "partial 16S ribosomal RNA". It matches the Rfam family "Bacterial small subunit ribosomal RNA", at positions 524 to 776 of the family's 1533-position model. The record is from RNAcentral.
UACGAAGGGGGCUAGCGUUGCUCGGAUUUACUGGGCGUAAAGGGCGCGUAGGCGGCCAGUUUAGUCAGAGGUGAAAGCCCGGGGCUCAACCUCGGAAUUGCCUUUGAUACUGGCUGUCUUGAGUAUGGAAGAGGUAUGUGGAACUCCGAGUGUAGAGGUGAAAUUCGUAGAUAUUCGGAAGAACACCAGUGGCGAAGGCGACAUACUGGUCCAUUACUGACGCUCAUGCACGAAAGCGUGGGGAGCAAACAGG